GGGGCAUUAGCUCAGUUGGCUAGAGCGCGUCGCUGGCAGUGAUGAGGUCAAGGGUUCGAGUCCCUUAUGCUCCA
Lentisphaera araneosa HTCC2155 is the source of this 74-nucleotide transfer RNA. It matches the Rfam family "tRNA". Rfam says of the family: Transfer RNA (tRNA) molecules are approximately 80 nucleotides in length. Their secondary structure includes four short double-helical elements and three loops (D, anti-codon, and T loops). NCBI's taxonomy places the organism in Bacteria, Pseudomonadati, Lentisphaerota, Lentisphaeria, Lentisphaerales, Lentisphaeraceae. The record is from Rfam.